GUCGAGCGGUAGCACAGGAGAGCUUGCUCUCUGGGUGACGAGCGGCGGACGGGUGAGUAAUGUCUGGGAAACUGCCUGAUGGAGGGGGAUAACUACUGGAAACGGUAGCUAAUACCGCAUAACGUCUUCGGACCAAAGUGGGGGACCUUCGGGCCUCACGCCAUCAGAUGUGCCCAGAUGGGAUUAGCUAGUAGGUGGGGUAAUGGCUCACCUAGGCGACGAUCCCUAGCUGGUCUGAGAGGAUGACCAGCCACACUGGAACUGA
RNAcentral lists this ribosomal RNA (265 nucleotides) under Serratia sp. (in: enterobacteria). Its description in RNAcentral is "Serratia sp. partial 16S ribosomal RNA". It matches the Rfam family "Bacterial small subunit ribosomal RNA", at positions 61 to 322 of the family's 1533-position model. Lineage: Bacteria; Pseudomonadati; Pseudomonadota; Gammaproteobacteria; Enterobacterales; Yersiniaceae. The record is from RNAcentral.